This 492-nucleotide ribosomal RNA is filed under the name uncultured bacterium. RNAcentral's name for it is "partial 16S ribosomal RNA". It matches the Rfam family "Bacterial small subunit ribosomal RNA", at positions 29 to 507 of the family's 1533-position model. The record is from RNAcentral.
AGUGAACGCUGGCGGUAGGCCUAACACAUGCAAGUCGAACGGCAGCACAGUAAGCGCUUGCUCUUACGGGUGGCGAGUGGCGGACGGGUGAGGCAUACAUCGGAAUCUACUUUUUCGUGGGGGAUAACGUAGGGAAACUUACGCUAAUACCGCAUACGACCUACGGGUGAAAGCAGGGGAUCUUCGGACCUUGCGCGAUUGAAUGAGCCGAUGUCGGAUUAGCUAGUUGGCGGGGUAAAGGCCCACCAAGGCGACGAUCCGUAGCUGGUCUGAGAGGAUGAUCAGCCACACUGGAACUGAGACACGGUCCAGACUCCUACGGGAGGCAGCAGUGGGGAAUAUUGGACAAUGGGCGCAAGCCUGAUCCAGCCAUACCGCGUGGGUGAAGAAGGCCUUCGGGUUGUAAAGCCCUUUUGUUGGGAAAGAAAAGCAGCAGGUUAAUCCCCCGCUGUUCUGACGGUACCCAAAGAAUAAGCACCGGCUAACUUCGUG